GCUGGGCAUGGUGGCACAUGCCUGUGAUCCCAGCUACUCAGGAGGCUGAGGCAGGAGGAUCACUUGAGCCCUGGAGGCUGAGGCUGCAGUAAGCUGUGUUCAUGCUACUGCACUUUAGCCUGGGCAACAGAGUGAAACCCUGUCUCAA
This is an unclassified non-coding RNA of Pongo abelii (Sumatran orangutan), 148 nucleotides long. It matches the Rfam family "Metazoan signal recognition particle RNA". Rfam says of the family: The signal recognition particle (SRP) is a universally conserved ribonucleoprotein. It is involved in the co-translational targeting of proteins to membranes. The eukaryotic SRP consists of a 300-nucleotide 7S RNA and six proteins: SRPs 72, 68, 54, 19, 14, and 9. Lineage: Eukaryota; Metazoa; Chordata; Mammalia; Primates; Hominidae. The record is from Ensembl.